UGACAGGAGGCAAUGAGCGAAGCCUGAUCCGCCAUGCCGCGUGAGUGAUGAAGGCCUUCGGGUUGUAAAGCUCCUUUCACCGGUGAAGAUAAUGACGGUAACCGAAGAAGAAGCCCCGGCUAACUUCGUGCCAGCAGCCGCGGUAAUAAAUA
This 152-nucleotide ribosomal RNA is filed under the name uncultured bacterium. RNAcentral's name for it is "partial 16S ribosomal RNA". It matches the Rfam family "Bacterial small subunit ribosomal RNA", at positions 358 to 529 of the family's 1533-position model. The record is from RNAcentral. RNAcentral also lists the same sequence under 1 other name.